Molecule: long non-coding RNA, 2590 nt
Filed under: Coffea arabica (coffee)
Lineage: Eukaryota; Viridiplantae; Streptophyta; Magnoliopsida; Gentianales; Rubiaceae
Description: long non-coding RNA (CARA_LNC006124)
Rfam family: tRNA (bases 1170-1241)
Source: RNAcentral
UUUUUUUUUUUUUUGGUUCCAUGUUGAUGGCUGCUUCAAGUUGGCGAGGUCAGUGCCACCCCACCAGGCAUUGAGUACAUGUAACACAGGACGAAAACAAAGCAGCAUUCAUAGUAUUCCGAUCAUGAUGGUUCUAACAAAAACGCAGUGAGAGUAGUUCGACAUCAAUAAUCAAACGCGAAAUAAUAUAGUUGAUAGUUUAUGCAAAUAUACUGUAACCAUUCGACGCUAGAAGGCUAUUGAACCAGCUGCAUCAACGAAUCACGCACGCGAUAGAUUGACAAUUGCAGAUUCCCUAGGCUGGCCUUCCAUCUUGCACUGCUCCUGGAGUAGGGCUGCACCAAGCACUGAGCUCCAGCCGAGUGUUAAAACAUUUGAGUCGAAUUCGAGUAUCUAUUUGUUAGACUCGAUUACUCAAAGAGCCGCUCGAAAAGCUAGAGUUGACGUAAAAUUAUAAAAAUGCUCCUAUAUCAAUUAAAAUCGAGCUGAUUUCGAACUCCUUGCGAGCCAAAAUAUUAAGCUGACAUCUCGAGUUAGAAAUUGAGCCAAACUCGCGAGUCAGAAACGAAUCAAGUUUGAAUUUUUCUUUUCUUAAAUCGAGUCGAGCUCUAGUUUCAUUUUUAUUUUUUUUUGACUCGAUGAGCUCGCACAUUAACAAUUUCAAAUUGACUCGUUUGCAGUUCUAUCCUGGAGUCACAAGUCACGACUACAUUCUCUUCUCUUUUUUUUUUUUUUGGUUGAAAAGCAACGCAAAAAGAUAAAUUUUGUUCACUUCUACUAUUUGACAAUGCAUAAGCGACGUCAAGGUAUAUUAUAUUGGAUACUCUCACAACAGGCACGGUUCCACACGUAAUGUAAAAGUGCUAUGCGUGCCUUGGGCUGUAAAUGAUGAAUUCUUGAAUUUUGACUUGUAUACAUGCAUAUUGAGUUUGAAAGGAAUUUCAGGGCCAAAAACCAUUGGCGGUUUCAUCUCUUUGUAGUAUAAUGCUACCAAUUUUUGUUCCUUGACAAGUAGAAUUUGACAAGCUAAUUAACAAUAAAUUAAAUGCGGAUCGACAAGAAGCUGUAAACUGAAUGGCUACUGGAAUGCACAACUGACUAGGGAGGGACGACAAGGAGAUGUUGGAUGCGAUUCUUUCAUAAAGUUAGUGUCACCACAAUCCGUUGCUGUCAAGAUGGCCGAGUGGUCCAAGGCGCCAGGCUUGUGAGAGGGGAUGUGGGUUCAAAUCCCACUUCUGACGAGUUUCUUCUUACCUUUUUAGCUAAGUCCCCCCAUGCGAACGAACGAAUCAAUGACACUGCCUCCAUUUCAUCCCUCUCGCUCAAUUCGAGUUUAUUGCCAAAAUAACUCUUCUUCUAGAAUAUAUACUUUUUUGACACUUAAUUUUAAAACUUAUUACCUUUGUGAUUCUUUUUUGCCACUUAGGCUGCAUAUGUGUCAGGAUAGAGAUAAAAACGUCUUUCAUUUCUCUUUCUCAUCUAAUAUUUUCUUCAAUUUUCUCUAUAAAGUUUCCCACAUUUUUUUCUUUCGUUAUCUUUCCCUUGUCAAACAUAAUUUAAGAAGCCAAUCUUUAUAUUAAUAGCAUCUAAAAAAUAUGUUUCGCAAGUCGAUAAUUUUAAGGUAGAUGAAGAUUAUUUUCGUCUUUUCAAAGAGUAGGAAGGAUAACAUAAACAAAUAUGAUAACCUUGAAAUUUUUGUAAUUGAUUACAAUUUUCGUUGCAAUUUUUGGUGCAAUUUUUGUAUUUUUAAAAUUAUUUUUUGAAAAAAUAUAUAUGCAAUAGGUUUGAUACAUUUAAAAAAAUUUGGAGACCAAUAAUAGUAAGGUCAAUAAUGGCAAAAUUUAUUUCAGAUAAUUAUAAGGAAAUUAUAAAAAUUAUGCAAUCUUCUUGUGCCUCUAUAAUAAAAAAAAUUAAAAUUUUAGUUAAUGUUAGAAACUAUAAUCUGGAUUAGAACUUUCUUUUUUGUUAUUCUACAUGGCAAUCAGGAUAAUUAGAUGGGAACAAUAAUAUCAUUAUGGUAAUAAAAUUUGAAAGUGAAUCACAUUGGAAAUAUUUUUUAGUAAGAGUGUUAUUUUGGCAAAAAACUCCGCUCAAUUCUAUGGUGUUUUCUUAAUUAGUCAGCUACUGUAGUAAUUGCCAUAGCAGUUUUAGCCUGUCCAAAAUUUUUAGUACGCUGGCUUCGAUUCACAUUCUCCUGAUCUUCACAAGCUGGCAUAUAACAGCGUCCCUAUUUGUAAUACAACCCGCAUACAUAUCGCAUAAUCUGCUUUUCAGCAGUAGCACCCAAAUUAACUCUUCAAAGCCCAAAGAAACAAAACAAUCCUCAUUCUGUGCUCAAUUCAAUAUGAGAGUGAGACAGAGAGUGAUAUAAAUUGAAGACAUGAAAUUUUAUUUCAUCAAAUCUAAGAAUACAAACCCAUUCCACAAACUAUGCAAGAGAAUUGAUGGUAGUAGACUCCUAGACCGUGCAUAAAUUACACCCAUCACAACCCCUAGAAAAUUAGUGGCAACAUUCUCUGUACAUUAAAAUGUGCUAAAGCAAAAGCAACAGAACUCAUUAGGACUGAACACCAGACGGGCAUGUAUUUAG